This 1474-nucleotide ribosomal RNA is filed under the name groundwater metagenome. Its description in RNAcentral is "bacterial LSU rRNA". It matches the Rfam family "Bacterial large subunit ribosomal RNA", at positions 1462 to 2925 of the family's 2925-position model. The record is from RNAcentral.
CCCCCGGGUGACGCAGUGGGAUAAGCGUAGCGCGCCCAUCGGACAUGGCGCGUCCCCCAGGCCGGGAGGCCGCGGGGAAAGUUGCGGAGAGAUCCAAGGCGAUUCUGUUGAGUCCGUACUGUCCAGAAAAGCCCGGGCGGAGGCGCCGAUCACCCGUACCGCAAACCGACACUGGUGGGCGGGGGCAAGUGCUCCAAGGGGAUCGAGAGAACCCUCGUUAAGGAACUCGGCAAGAAUGACCCCGUAACUUCGGGAUAAGGGGUGCCUUUGGAGGUGACAGUUCAACGGCGCUGUUUUCGGAUAGUGCCGCAAAGAAGGAGCCACCGGAGGCCGCAGUGAGCGGGCCCAAGCGACUGUUUAACAAAAACACAGGUUUCUGCAAAGGCGCAAGCCGAUGUAUAGGAGCCGAUACCUGCCCAGUGCCGGAAGGUUAAGGGGAGAGGUUAGCGUAAGCGAAGCUUUGAGCCGAAGCCCCGGUGAACGGCGGCCGUAACUAUAACGGUCCUAAGGUAGCGAAGUCCCUUGUCGGGUAAGUUCCGACCCGCACGAAAGGUGUAACGACUUGGGCGCUGUCUCAACGAGGGACUCGGUGAAAUUGAAGUACCCGUGAAGAUGCGGGUUUCCCGCGACUGGACAAAAAGACCCCAUGGAGCUUUACUGCAGCUUGGCAAUGAGUCGAAGCCCGGCAUGUGUAGCAUAGGUGGGAGGCUUUGAAGCCCCGACGCUAGUCGGGGUGGAGCCGUCAUUGAAAUACCACUCUUGUCAGGUUUUUACUCUAACCUGUGAACAAGCACAGAGACAUUGCCUGGUGGGCAGUUUGACUGGGGCGGUCGCCUCCCAAAAGGUAACGGAGGCGUCCCAAGGUCCCCUCAGCACGGAUGGAAAUCGUGCAUAGAGUGCAUUGGCAUAAGGGGGCUUGACUGUGAGACUGACAGGUCGAGCAGGGACGAAAGUCGGGCAAAGUGAUCCUACGGAUCCGCAUGGAAGGUCCGUGGCUUAACGGAUAAAAGCUACCCUGGGGAUAACAGGCUGAUCUUGCCCAAGAGUUCACAUCGACGGCAAGGUUUGGCACCUCGAUGUCGGCCCGUCGCAUCCUGGGGCUGGAGUCGGUCCCAAGGGUCCGGCUGUUCGCCGGUUAAAGCGGUACGCGAGCUGGGUUCAGAACGUCGUGAGACAGUUCGGUCUCUAUCCGUCGUGGGCGUUGCAGACUUGAGGGGACCUCUCUCUAGUACGAGAGGAUCGAGAGGGACUGACCUCUGGUGCGCCAGUUGUCGUGCCAACGGCAAUGCUGGGUAGCUACGUCAGGUCAGGAUAAGCGCUGAAAGCAUCUAAGUGCGAAACCACCCCCAAGACCAGGUCUGCCAUCCCCCGCAAGGGGGAGUAAGGUCGCCGGUAGACCACCGGCUUGAUAGGCGGCAUGUGUAAGCGCGGUAACGCGUUCAGCUGAGCCGUACUAAUGACCGAGGCCUUGACC